This is a long non-coding RNA of Strongylocentrotus purpuratus (purple sea urchin), 1062 nucleotides long. RefSeq lists it as uncharacterized. The record is from RefSeq and is a predicted model, not a curated record. NCBI's taxonomy places the organism in Eukaryota, Metazoa, Echinodermata, Echinoidea, Camarodonta, Strongylocentrotidae. The transcript has 2 exons.
CCCAGCACUUAGACCAGCACUUAGACCAGCUUAGCAUCAGGAUGCAUGUCAAUGUGAAGAGGCUGUGAAACAUCCUUAAAUGUUGGGUAUCGAUGGAUAUAGGGUCAACCACACAGUUUAUCACCCCAAUGCGUCAGAGAAAGGACAUCAAUACUGAAGUGGGUAUGCAAAUGGAUUCCAUCUAUUCAAAACCAUGAAAGAACCUGCUAUGGCACAACCAGUAAUGAUGUUUCCCUCAAGCGGAAAGCAGUAGAGUGGACUUUCGUUUGAUUAGUCGCCACUAGCACCACAGAAUUCAUGUACAUUACAGCAGGGGUGUGCAUGAUCCUAACAGACAGCCAUUACCAACAUGAUCAAGGCCAUAUUGAAUGUUAUUGAAAUGUAUGUUUUCCAUAAGUUUCAGUAAAUGGAAAGCAUUGUCACUUUUUGUUUAAAUUCCUAUUGCUUAAAGAGGUAGUUCAGUUUUGGUAAAGUGGGUGCUACACAAAAUAAUUUGUUUGUGAGAUAAUGAAAAUCAAGUGUUAAAUUUGAAAUUUAGAAACAGCUGAAAUAUCAAUAAAUAUAUCCAGUCAGAAUAAAUUUGGGCCCCAAAUUUAUAAGAUGAUUUUUCUAAAAAUUAAUAAAAUGCUUACACUUUUCAAACAUUUUUAAAAGAGGUUUUUAAAAAGUUGUUGAUGAUUUCUUUAUAUCAUCAUUAUUUCAACACAACAUCACAAGCAUAACUUUGUAUGAAAAAUGGUUCAAACCAAUGUUUUUUUUAGAGCGCCUUCUUGUGUUUCAAUGGCUCUUUUUGAAUGAUAACAGGUUAUUUUUCUUCCAUAGUCUUCGUAAUUUUCUAUAACUUUCAAGCAUGGUGAAAUAAUAACUAUUAGAUUGUAGUGUUGUUGUUUUAUGGUAACUAAAGCUUAGCUCUACCAAAAUUGUACUACCCCUCUCAAGGGAAUGUCCACCAUUUACAUCGUCUGAAUAUUUUCUCGUAGAUGGAUGGGGACGAAUUCAAUAUUCAAAUAAAAUGUCAGGUCGAACACCUGUUACCGGUAUUUGGAUUCUACAAAUGAAAAA